GCUCGUCGAUUAUUCUCCAAAUAUGUGAAUUUAAUAUUUAAUGGUAGUUGUUAAUUAUUAAUUAAGGUUGAGGUUUGCGUAGAAUUAUUUGUAGGAGUGUAUUUUGCUUAAGAAAUAUAUUAGUGGGACUCAUUUAAAAAAUAAAAAAUAAAAAAUACUUAACGGUGUUAAGUGUCCGUUAAGAGCAGAGGGCAUAUUGCACUCUUUAUGAGAUGUUGAGGGGCUAACAGCCCAAAAUCAAAAGAUAUGGAGGUAAAUAUGUUAGGGGGUUAUUUGCUACUUUUUCCUUUUUUUUAUUAUAGUAUUCAUUAUUUUAUUUUUUUAUUCCUUAUUUUCAAUUUCAUUUAUAUCUUAUAUUUUUUGUUCUUUGUACUAUAUUUUUAUAACAUAAUCGAACAACAUGAUCAGUGUAUAAUAUUAUAAUACAUUAUUAUCCUAAUUAUAUUCCUUUCAAUUUUAUAAUUCAUAAUGUUAAUUUCACU
Molecule: long non-coding RNA, 482 nt
Filed under: Salvia miltiorrhiza (redroot sage)
Lineage: Eukaryota; Viridiplantae; Streptophyta; Magnoliopsida; Lamiales; Lamiaceae
Description: long non-coding RNA (SMIL_LNC001504)
Source: RNAcentral